This is a long non-coding RNA of Ctenopharyngodon idella (grass carp), 1651 nucleotides long. RefSeq lists it as uncharacterized. NCBI's taxonomy places the organism in Eukaryota, Metazoa, Chordata, Actinopteri, Cypriniformes, Xenocyprididae. The record is from RefSeq and is a predicted model, not a curated record. The transcript has 3 exons.
CACCUGGAGAGACGUCUGCGUCACGUCUUCACUCACGGACACAUUCAGACGUGAGCUCCGGACUGCAGGACACAGGUUUGGUGUUAAGUGGGAAUAUCACAGGAUCGCGAGAGACUCCAUGAACUCUAAAGACAACGGUCAGAUCUUGAACGCGGAUACGGACAUCUGACCUAAACACUUUCUUCCUGUAUUUCUAAUAUGAAUGUUCAUGUAUCCUCAUAUCAAAUAAGACUACUGCAGGUUUUUUCUCUUGUCAAACAGCGGAUGAGCGGCUCGUCUCAGGGUUUGUUCGGUGUCUGGAUGUUUUCCAGCGGAGCAGGAAGUCCUUAAAUUACCCUCAGACCCUAUAUCAUUCGUGCAUCUCUGAUGAAUCCGGAUCAUGCAGCAGCGCCUCGCGGGACUCGAUCGUGUUUUCUGAACAUGUCUCCGUGUCUCUGGGGUCAGUUAGUGUCUCUAAUCAGCGUCCCGGAGGAAGACGGUUCUGCAGCGGGACUCAUUCGUGUCAGACUGGAUCAGAAUGAUGCUGAACAAACACUGAACAGACGCUGCUCCGCUGUCAGUGUGUGACACAUCAAUUAUCCUCCGAGGAAAAGCUGCUGUAUGAAAUGAACUGUGAUGAACACCUGAAUCUGUUCAUGAUGAACAUGAAGUCAUGUGUGCAGCUAUUGUUGUGUGCUGAAAUAAUCUAUUCACCCGGUGGACUGAAGAGAUUGACAAGAGCUCCAGCACAAUGAGCGAGCGUUUCUGAAGCGUCGUGUUUGUCUGUCUGUCAGAUGCUUUUGUCAGACGUGUCAGAUUCUCGCGCGCUGAUGAUUGUAAUCACUCACACAAGAGCGUCAGGAUUAGUCACGAGAGACGCUCAUCAUCUGACUAAUGCUGAAGACCUCCAGAUGAACUUACAGGAUGCUUUUAUUUCAUGAGACUUGUGUGUGUUUGUAAAUGCUAAUUGUUUAUAAUGUAAUUUUAUAAAUGCAGCCUAAUAAAUACAAAUUAAUUAUGUGAAUUGAAUGUGGAAAAUGUUUGUGUAUAAUCUAAAAAUAAUAAUUUGAUGGUGUUUUGGGAGGAGUUUGAAAGCAUCCACUCAUGUAAAAGAGCAGCGAGAACAUUGCUAAACAUCUGCUUUUGUGUUUCUGAAAGUGGUUUGUAAUGACGAGAGUGAUUAAACGUUGAGAUUUUUUUUUUUUAGAUUUACUUUUUCCUUUUAUUAUGAUAGGACAGGAAACAAACAGGAAGAGAGAGAGAGAGGGACAGGAUCAGGACGGGUUUGCGAGCCGGGACUCGAACUCGGGUCACCCAAAGUGCAACGGCGCUGCCCACGAGGCUAUCGGCACCGACACGAUGAGAUUAUUUAAUAAGUUUGGCCUGUAACCAACAACAAAAAUGUAUGAUACUUGCACAUUUUGUUCAUCAUGAUAAUCAUCCCUUUCUUCUAAGCGUUUAGUUCAGUUGGAUUGGAAGUUUGACAUGUUGAUAUGAUCGCCUCGUCUCUCCAUCUUCAGAAGUCUCCACACACUCGCGGCGCUCGCGGCCUCUGGACUCCAGGCGCCUGUGGCUUCAGGCGAGCCGCGUCCUUCUCUCCGGAUGGAUGUAGCUCUGAUCUCCGGGAUGUCAGCGGGCAGCCGAACCUCUCGACCGCCGGAGGACUGGAGCU